Molecule: transfer RNA, 100 nt
Rfam family: tRNA
About the family: Transfer RNA (tRNA) molecules are approximately 80 nucleotides in length. Their secondary structure includes four short double-helical elements and three loops (D, anti-codon, and T loops). Further hydrogen bonds mediate the characteristic L-shaped molecular structure. tRNAs have two regions of fundamental functional importance: the anti-codon, which is responsible for specific mRNA codon recognition, and the 3' end, to which the tRNAs corresponding amino acid is attached (by aminoacyl-tRNA synthetases). tRNAs cope with the degeneracy of the genetic code in two manners: having more than one tRNA (with a specific anti-codon) for a particular amino acid; and 'wobble' base-pairing, i.e. permitting non-standard base-pairing at the 3rd anti-codon position.
Source: Rfam
GCGGGGGUGCCCGAGCCUGGUCAAAGGGGGCGGACUUAAGACCCCCAAGUAAGAGAUCCGCUGGCGAAGGCCUGCACGGGUUCAAAUCCCGUCCCCCGCA